UACAGAGGUCUCAAGCGUUGUUCGGAUUCAUUGGGCGUAAAGAGCUCGUAGGCGGUCUGUCGCGUCUGCUGUGAAAACCUAGGGCUUAACUCUGGGCGUGCAGUGGGUACGGGCAGGCUAGAGUGCGGUAGGGGAGACUGGAAUUCCUGGUGUAGCGGUGAAAUGCGUAGAUAUCGUAAGGAAGACCAGUGGCGAAGGCGGGUCUCUGGACAGUUCCUGACGCUGAGGCACGAAGGCCAGGGGAGCAAACGGG
This 253-nucleotide ribosomal RNA is filed under the name uncultured bacterium. RNAcentral's name for it is "partial 16S ribosomal RNA". It matches the Rfam family "Bacterial small subunit ribosomal RNA", at positions 524 to 776 of the family's 1533-position model. The record is from RNAcentral.